UGAGGAAUUUUGCGCAAUGGGCGAAAGCCUGACGCAGCAACGCCGCGUGGACGAUGAAGGUCUUCGGAUCGUAAAGUCCUGUCGAGUGGGAAGAAAAAUGCGGGGGUGAAUAUCCCUUGCAUUCGACUGUACCACCAGAGGAAGCCCCGGCUAACUCCGUGCCAGCAGCCGCGGUAAUACGGAGGGGGCUAGCGUUGUUCGGAAUUAUUGGGCGUAAAGGGCGCGUAGGCGGCCGGAUAAGUCUGACGUGAAAUCCCUCGGCCUAACCGAGGAACUGCGUUUGAAACUGUCCGGCUCGAGUCCGGGAGAGGGUAGUGGAAUUCCCAGUGUAGCGGUGAAAUGCGUAGAUAUUGGGAGGAACACCGGUGGCGAAGGCGGCUACCUGGACCGGUACUGACGCUGGGGCGCGAAAGCCAGGGGAGCAAACAG
This 429-nucleotide ribosomal RNA is filed under the name uncultured bacterium. RNAcentral describes it as "bacterial SSU rRNA". It matches the Rfam family "Bacterial small subunit ribosomal RNA", at positions 355 to 775 of the family's 1533-position model. The record is from RNAcentral.